This 1315-nucleotide long non-coding RNA is filed under the name Medicago truncatula (barrel medic). Its description in RNAcentral is "lncRNA gene40939". Lineage: Eukaryota; Viridiplantae; Streptophyta; Magnoliopsida; Fabales; Fabaceae. The record is from RNAcentral.
GUGGUAAGAAAUUUCCAAAAGCAAGCACAAUAACUUUUCUCAAAAAGUACUAUUAAUCAGCUCUAUAUAAUGCAAAACUCCAGUUUUACUUCACAACAACAAGAAAAUUGUGCCAAGAGUUUUGGUUAGGAAACCAAGCAAGACGUAGUUUUACUUCACUUCACAAUCACAACAUGUGUGAGAGGGUGACAAAUCUCUUAAUUAAGGUACUGUCCUACACACUUCUUUAUUCACGGACUUCUUAAACUCAUCAGUCAUCAGUGAAGGACGACAUACCUACAUUCUACAUUUUAAAUGUUUUUUUUUUAUUUUUUUAUUUUUGUGUUAGGUAAAAUUGGGUUUUUUUGAUGAUGUCAGGGUUCGAACCCUAGACCUUGCAUAUAUUAUAUAUUAUUCUUAUCAACUGAACUAAAUCCAGAUAAAAUUGGGUUUGGUUAUUACUUUGGGGGCCACAAAUUGGAUAUUUCAUAUUUGGUUAACCAUAAUGUUAGCUGAAUUGCUUAUAUUUGAUUUUCUUUUACCAGAAAAAGUUACCACUAGACCAUUGCAAGUUGCAACGGUUAUUUGAUUUUUUAAUAAUACUCUUUUCUGCAAGCUUCACAAUUCAAUCAUUGUUUAAUAGUUCCCCUCCAAAAAAAAAAGAUUGUUAAUGGUUGUUGUAUUUUGGAAUAUUUUCACGUUACUUUUCUUGAAGAUAAGGAAUUUUCUUCAGACAUGCUUGCUAAUAAUUCAUUGUCAUAGAAUUUAUGUUUGUCUCGAGAAGCAUUAUAUAUGUUUUUUUUUCUUCUGAGAUAUAUUUGUAUAUCUGUGCAAAACAGUAUAUAGACAAAUAUAUUGUCUAUAUAGAUAAAUAUGAAAAAGUUUGCCCUCUAUUAAUUGUUGCAUUUACCAGUAUCUUCUAAAGAUUCAUCAUUCUUGCACUUGAUCUGUCUCCAAUCAAUAUCAAAUAGCUAGGGACCACAACCAUUUGUCAAAUUGUCGUCAUAAUUAUCAUACUUAUAUUAAUUAUUUCAAAUUCCUCUUCACAAAGUAAUUAUUUCAAAUUCAAAUCUAAUUAAUUAACACCAAACUGGUUGAUAAGCCUCAAAUAUGAAAAGAAUUUUUGAAGUGGAGUUAGGUUCCUCUCUAUGUUGCUUGAGUGAGGAUAGGAGACAAGAGAUUUUAAUGGAGGGAGAAAUUUUAAAAUAUCAUGACCAUUCGUAAUGGUGGGUGCUUCAUUUAUUUAGCACCAUAUUAAAUAGACACCUCCAUUGUGAAAAGGAACAUAUCAAAGAUUACUUACACGUCAAUAGAAGAUAAACAACCAACAAGUUGU